This 182-nucleotide ribosomal RNA is filed under the name uncultured Actinoplanes sp. RNAcentral's name for it is "partial 16S ribosomal RNA". It matches the Rfam family "Bacterial small subunit ribosomal RNA", at positions 326 to 521 of the family's 1533-position model. Lineage: Bacteria; Bacillati; Actinomycetota; Actinomycetes; Micromonosporales; Micromonosporaceae. The record is from RNAcentral.
ACGGGGGGACUCCUACGGGAGGCAGCAGUGGGGAAUAUUGCACAAUGGGCGGAAGCCUGAUGCAGCGACGCCGCGUGAGGGAUGACGGCCUUCGGGUUGUAAACCUCUUUCAGUAGGGACGAAGCGCAAGUGACGGUACCUACAGAAGAAGCGCCGGCCAACUACGUGCCAGCAGCCGCGGU